UUCCAUCAUGUUGAUUAAAACAAAAAUCAAUAAUGAACAGAAAUAUGUCAAGAUCAGUGAACCAAGUCUGGAUGAAUUCUUGAAUUCCGCUUUCGUGAAGUUCUCCAUCCCACCAGUCAGUGAAGGCAUCAGAGUUUAUGAUGAAACAGGAACUGAGGUGGAUGCAGAUGUCUUUGCAGAAGUGGCACAGCUGCCCAAUGCUGGUGUAUUUACUAUUCAGUUUGAGAAUGGUUCACAGGGGAACACUUCAUCUGCCAGUCCACCAGUCCAAACCAAUUCAGCAUUGACCCGUUCAUCAUCAACCAGCUCUGAUGAGACAAUCAUCCUGGAUGAGGACUGCGGUCCUUCCAGAAAACGGCAGAAGGCAAAUCAAGAUGCCAAACAAGUGGUUGAAUCAGCAUUGACCAAGAAACCAGGUGGAGACCGUAUUACUAAGGAAUACAACCGGACAAAAGGCCUGAGUGAUUCCUCGCGGCGACAGAUGGUUAACAUCCUCGCAGCAGAUAUGACUGAAACUUAUGGGACAUCACCACCACGGGACGUGAGAGAGAUGUAUGCUCGAGGCAUAGUUGAGAUGUUCCCUUACCUGAUGGAUCCAUAUUCAAAAAAUGGAUAUGGAAGUCUUCACUUGUUCUAG
RNAcentral lists this long non-coding RNA (637 nucleotides) under Sander lucioperca (pikeperch). RNAcentral describes it as "lncRNA (ENSSLUG00000011481.1)". The record is from RNAcentral. Lineage: Eukaryota; Metazoa; Chordata; Actinopteri; Perciformes; Percidae.